GUUGCUGCAUGGUUGUCGUCAGCUCGUGCCGUGAGGUGUCGGGUUAAGUCCCAUAACGAGCGCAACCUCUAUUCUUAGUUACCAUCAGGUAAUGCUGGGGACUCUAAGGAAACUGCCUACGCAAGUAGUGAGGAGGGUGGGGAUGACGUCAAAUCAGCACGGCCCUUAUGUCCAGGGCUACACACGUGCUACAAUGGCCGGUACAAAGAGCAGCUAACUAGUGAUAGUAUGCUAAUCUCUAAAGCCGGUCUCAGUUCGGAUUGAAAUCUGCAAUUCGAUUUCAUGAAGCUGGAAUCGCUAGUAAUCGCGCAUCAGCAAUGGCGCGGUGAAUACGUUCCCGGGCCUUGUACACACCGCCCGUCAAGCCAUGGAAGCUGGUGGUACCUGAAGUUUGUAACCGCAAGGAGCGAACUAGGGUAAAAUCAGUAACUGGGGCUAAGUCGUAACAAGGUAACC
This 456-nucleotide ribosomal RNA is filed under the name uncultured bacterium. Its description in RNAcentral is "bacterial SSU rRNA". It matches the Rfam family "Bacterial small subunit ribosomal RNA", at positions 1037 to 1501 of the family's 1533-position model. The record is from RNAcentral.